CCUACAAAAAAUCAAAAAUAAUAGAUAUAAUAUAAAGAACUUCAAUCAACAAAGAAGAACCAAGAAACACAGCUCCAGGGAAUAUAGACUUCAAAAGUCUAAAACCCUAUAAAAGAAGAAGAAGAAGAAGAAGCUGAGAGAGAAAGCGGGAUCUACAAGAUUCUCAGCGGAUGACAGUGAAAGCUUUACAACAUGGAAUCCCAGUUCCUAUGCACAGGCCCAUGCUGAAGAGAGUCUUUGAUAAAUAGUUGAAUAUCACAGGAAAAUUAUUCUCACCUUGUCUUUGAUGCAAUAUUAGAGGAAUGGAAAGGAAGUGGAUAAUUUCUGACUGGUCUAGAUAAUGUAAAAAGGUUAGU
Long non-coding RNA from Penaeus monodon (black tiger shrimp), 356 nucleotides. RefSeq lists it as uncharacterized. The record is from RefSeq and is a predicted model, not a curated record. The transcript has 3 exons. NCBI's taxonomy places the organism in Eukaryota, Metazoa, Arthropoda, Malacostraca, Decapoda, Penaeidae.